UUCAAUCCUUAAACUUAUUAAGACUUGUUUUAUGGCCUAAUAUAUGAUCUAUCAUGGAGAAUGUUCCAUGUGCAGUUGAGAAUAAUCUGUAUUCCGUUACUUUUGGAUGGAAUGUUUUGUAAAUGUCUGCUAAGUCCAUCUGGUCUAACUUAAGGCUAAUGUUUCCUUAUUGAUUUUAUGUCUGGAUGAUCUAGCCAUUGAUGAAAGUGGAAUAUUAAAGUCCCCCAUUAUUGUAUUGCAAUAUUGUAUUGCAUUAUUUUAUAGCAAUCUAUUUCUCCCUUAGGUCUUUUAGCAUUUGCUUUAGGUAUUUAGGUGCUCCUAUGUUGGGUACAUAAAUAUUUACAAAUGUUAUAUCCUCCUGUUGGAUUGAACCCUUUAUAUAAUCCCCUUCUUUGUUUCUUAUUACAGUUUUUGUCUUAAACUCUAUUUUGUCUGAUAAAAGUAUAGCUAUCCCAGCUUUCUUUUGAUUUCCUUUUCCAUGUGUUAUCUUUUUCCAUCUUUUCACAUUCAGUCUGCAUGUGUCCUUACAUCUGAAGUGAGUCUCUUGCAGGUAGCAUAUAAAUUUUUUUUCUUCCAUUCAGCCAAUCUAUGUCUUUUGAUUGGAGAAUUUGGUCCAUUAACAUUUACAGUAGUUAUGAUAUGUACGUACUUGUUGCCAUUUUGUUAAGUGUUUUCUGGCUAUUUUGUAUUUCCUUUGUUCCUUCUCUUGCUCUCUUCAUUUGUAAUUUGAUGAUUUUCUGAAGCAAUGUGCUUAGAUUCCUUUACCUUUUGGCUAUCUACUAAAGGUUUUUGCUUUGUGGUUACCAUGACGCUUACAUAAAACAAUUUAUAUUUAUAACAGUUUAAGUUGAUAAUAACUUAAGUUUGAAUGCAUUCUAAAGCUCUACAUUUUUACUUUCCCACCACAUUUUAUAUUUUUGAUAUCAAAAUUUACAUCUUUUUAUCUUGUGUAUCCAUUAACAAAUCAUUAUAAUUAUAGUUAUUUGUACUACUUUUAUCUUUUAACCUUCAUGCUAGCUUUAUAAGUGAUUGACCCACAACAUUUAUAGUGUUAGAUUAUUCUGAAUUUUACUAUAUAUUGACUUUUACCAGUGAGAUUUAUACUUUCAUAUGUUUUCCUGCUACUAAUUAGUGCCAUUUUGUUUCAGCUUAAAGAAGUCCUGUUAACAUUUCUUGUAAGACAGGUUUAGUGGUGAUGAUCUCCUUGAGCUUUUCCUUGUCUAGAAAACUCUUUAUCUCUCCUUUAAUUCUGAAGGACAACUUUGUUGUGGAGAGUAUUCUUGGUUGCAGUUUUUUUUUCUUUCAGCCCUUUGAAUAUAUGGUGCCACUCUCUUCUGGCCUGCAAAGUUUCUGCUGAAAAAUCUACUGAUAGUCUUAUGUGGGUUACCUUGGACAUAACAAGCUGUUUUUCUCUUGCUGCUUUUAAGAUUCUCUCCUUGUCUUAAACUCUUGACAAUUUAAUUAUUAUGUAUCCUGGUGUGGGUCUUUUGGGGCUUAUCUUUGGAACUCUCUUGGCUUCCUUGAACUGGAUGUCUGUUUCCUUCCCCACGUUAGGGAAGGUUUCAGCCAUUAUUUCUUCAGUGAAGUCUUCUGCCCCUUUCUUUCUCACUUCUCCUCUGGGAGCCCUAAAAUCUGAAUGUUGGUCCUCUUGAUAUUGUCCCAUCAGUCCCUUUUGUCAUCUUCAACCUUCUUCAUUCUUGUUUUCUUUUUGCUACUCUGAUUGGGUGAGUUCCAACUGCCCUGUAUUGGAGUUCACUGAUCCUUUCUUCUGCUUCAUGUAGCCUGCUGUUGAACCCCUCAAGUGUAUUUUCAGUACAGUUAUUGUAGUCUUCAGUUCUAUGAUUUCUUUUGGUACUUUCUUAUAUUUUCCAUCCCUGUUGAAAUUCUCACUUUGUUCAUUCAUUCUUCUCCUAAGCACAGUGAGCAUCUUUAUGACCAUAAUUUUGAAGUCUUAUCAGCUAAAUCACUUAUCUUCAUGUCAUUAAGGUCUUUUUCUGAGGUUUUAUCUUGUUCUUUCUUUUGGAACAUAGUCCUCUGUUUCUUCAUUUUCCUUGACUCUCUGUGUUGGUUUCUAUGUAUUAGAUAAAACGGCCACCUCUCCUAGUCUUGAAGGAGUGGCCUCAUGUAGGAGAUGAACUUUGUUGCUGAACCCUGCCCUAGCUCUUGGUUGUGUCUCAAACCUUUGUGAUUGUCCAGACUAUCUACUUUAUUCUUAGUGGCUCCCAGCAGUUGAGGCCUGUCAGUGUCCCAAAUGAGAGGACCUAUGUCAGCAGGCUGAUUGGAAGCUGGACCCCCAGGCAGCAGGUUUUAAAGAUAUAUGUAAAUAUAUCUCUUCAAGAGAAGGCUGGGAGAUGGGCAUCUUUCUCUGCUCCCUCUGCACUGAGCCUUGGGUAGCAGCCAGUGAAGAAGUGUUUCUUUGUUUGCUACCAUCCUGUUGAAGCUGUGGGCACAAGCCCUACUGGCUACCAGAGCCAGGCUAUCAAGGAAUGUGUCCUCUGGACAGCAUACACAAAAGCUGGGCCCAGGCAUGUAUACAAUCUCCUUUCUUGGAGACACCAAUGACCUAGGGCAGGGCAGAGGGCGAGCUUGAAGGUGGCACUGACCAGCCUCCCUGGUCUCUGGAGAGGAUUGCAAUCAGCCCCUAGACACGAGUUUAAUUAGAAGUCUGCCCUUCAGGCUGGAGCUGUGGAGAUCAGCUGAAAGGCCCCUUUCACAGAAAGACUGGGGGUGAGUGUCAGUCUGCUCUGUGCCCUGGAGGCAGCUGGCUAAGAACUGUCUCUCUGUUUGUUCCAUCCCAUGGGACCUAUGAACACAAACCCCCCUGGCCCCCGGAGCCAGGGGGUUGAGGGGCAUCCCCGGGCAGCAGCCACAAAAACCAGGGCACCAGAUGUAAAAACCAGGAACCCAGAUGUGAAAACUGGGGCACCAGAUGUUACAGCUCCUCUCUGGGAGGUACAUGCACUCUGGAGCAUGGCAGAGGGCAGUGUGCGGACAGUGCCUGCCCUUCAGGUCUCCGGAAAGGAUUACAGUCUCCUCGGAUGUGUGCUAUUAGGAGCCUGCCCCUCAGGCUGCAGCUAUGAAGAUGGACUGAUAGGCCUCCUUCCUGGAGAGACUGGGCCCUCAGUCUGCUGCCUCUGCUGUGCCUGGGGUGGUGGCUGUUUAAAACCCUUUCUCCAUUCGUUAUAGUCCUGUGGGGCCCACGAGUGUCAGCCCCACUGGUCAGCAGAGGCGAGCAAUCAAGAGAUGUCCCCUGGGUGGCAGCUGUGAAAAUUGGGGGGUCAGAUGAGGGUACAAGCUCCCCUCCGGCAGAUACCGGCAGCCUGGAGCGAGGCAAAGAGAGCAAAGAUGGCCCCGCCGGCCUCCAAGCCCCCAGAUGUGGAUUAAAUUAGAAGCCUGCCCCUCAGGCCGAUGCCUGAAGAUAAACAAGCCUCUUUCACAGAAAGUCUGGGCCCUUUUCAGUCGCUGUGUCUGUGCGGGGCCCUGGGGAGGGUGAGUAAGUUCAUGCUGCCCCUUCAAGAAUGGUUUCUCAGGUCACUAUAGCCUCAUGGGUCUUGUAGAGGCCAGCCCCAUCGAUUUUCAAAGCUAGAUGUUUUGGGGGCUCAUCUCCCAGGUGCAAGUCUUGAAAGUAGGGGUGCCAGCUGUGGUGUUCAGACCGUUCGCUCCUCGGGGAGCAGCCUGGGAUGGGAGUUCCCUCCUGAUUGUGGGUCACCACGCUGGGGGAGGGGUGUAUGGUGAGACUGUGUCUCAGCCUCUCCUACCCUUUGAGGUGGGUUUUUUCUCACUCACCCAAUGUAUAGGAGUUAUUUAGCUAGUUAUGGGGUUUUCCCAGAGGAAACUCUUCCAUUUACAGCUGGCAAUUUCAUGUGUCCAUGGGAGGAGGUGAGUUCAGGAUCCUCCUAUGUGGCCAUCUUGAACUGCAACUUCAAAAUUAAUAGCUUUUGUUCUUCAAAAGACACCAUUAAGAAACUGAAAAGAGGGCUUCCCUGGUGGUGCAGUGGUUGAGAAUCCACCUGCCGAUGCAGGGGACACGGGUUCGUGCCCCGGUCUGGGAGGAUCCCACAUGCCGCGGAGCGGCUGGGCCCGUGAGCCAUGGCCGCUGAUCCUGUGCGUCCGGAGCCUGUGCUCCGCAACGGGAGAGGCCACAGAAGUGAGAGGCCCGCGUACCAAAAAAAAAAAAAAGAAAGUGAAAAGACAACCCACAGAAUGGGAGAAAAUAUUUGCAAAUCAUAUAUUUGAUAGGAAACUUGUAUCCAGAAUAGAGAAGUAAUUCCUAAAAUUCAACAAUAAAAAACAAAUAACCUAAUUAAAAAUAGGCAAAGGAUUUACAUAGUCUUUUCUCCAGGGUGGGAAAAAAAACCAAGCGGCUAAUAAGCACACGGUGUUCUGGAAACCUGGAUCAAAACUGCAAUGAGAGGCCACUUCAUUCCCACUACGAUGUGCAAAAAGACAUAAAAAGUACUAGCAAGGAUAUGGACAAAUUGGAACUCUCAUGCAUUGCUGGUGGGAAUGUCAAAUGUUGUAGCCACUUUGGAAGACAGUUUUGCAGUUCCUCAAAAAGUUAAAUAUAGAAUUAUAAAUAUGGCUCAGAAAUUCCACUCCCUGGUAAAUACUCAAAAGAUCUGAAAACAGGUACUCAGACAAAUACUUGUACAUAAAUGUUCAUAGCAACACUAUUCAUAAUAGCCCAAAAGUGACAAUAACCCAUCAACACAUGAAUGCAUAAAGAAAAUGUAGUCUAUCCAUAUGGUGAAAUAUCAUUCAUCCAUAAAAAAGAAUGAAGCACUGACACACGCUAUAAUGUGGAUGAAUCUUGAAAACCUUACACUAAGUGAAAGAAUCCAAACACAAAGGUCACAUAUUGUAUGAUUCCGUUUAUAUGAAAUAUCCAGAAUAGAUAAAUCUGUAGAAACAGAAAGCAGAUAGGUGGUUUCCAGGAGCUGAGCUGGGAGUGGGUAAUGGAGGAGGAGCUGCUUCCUGGGUGAGGGGUUUUAUUUUGGGGUGAUGACAAUGUUUUGGAGCUAAACAGAGAUGGUGGUUGCACAACAUUGUGCAUGUACUAAAUGCCACUGAACUGUUCGCUUUCAGAUGGUUAAUUUGAUGUCAUGUCAAUUUCAUCUCAAUAGGAAAACUUAGGAUAGUGAUUACCCAUGGGGGGUAUAGUGACUGAAGUGGGCCUCUGAGGGGCUUCUGGGUUGCUGGUAAUGCUGUUCCUUAGUCAGGGUGUGGAACACACAAGUGAAUUCAGAAUGUGAAAAUUCGUUGAGCUGUAUACUUAAAAUCUGACACUUUGCUGGAUAUAUAUCAUACAUCUAUAAAAAGCCAAAAUGUGGCUUCCCUGGUGGCGCAGUGGUUGAGAAUCUGCCUGCCGAUGCAGGGGGACACGGGUUCGAGCCCUGGCCCGGGAAGAUCCCACAUGCCGCGGAGCAACUGGGCCCGUGAGCCACAACUACUGAGCCUGCGCGUCUGGAGCCUGUGCUCCGCAACAAGAGAGGCCGCGACGGUGAGAGGCCCGCGCACCGCGAUGAAGAGUGGCCCCCGCUCGCCGCAACUAGAUAAAGCCCUCGCACAGAAGUGAAGACCCAACGCAGCCAAAAAUAAAUAAAUAAAUAAAUUUAUUUAUUUUUUUAAAGCCAAAAUGAAAAGAAAAAAUGCCCCAGACAAUGCCUGGGGCAUCAAAGAGGUCAACACCCCGACACCGACCUCACGGGCCUGCCUACCUGCCUUACUGCUUUCAGAGGCACAGUCUGGGGAGGGAAGGGUGUAGCCCCAUCUUCUCACCAGUAGCUGAUCUGAUCUUAAGAGGCUUCCAUUGCCCACACUGGAGACCUCACAGACCACAGCUCAGCCCUCAAAGACGACUCAGCGGCUGAGUCCUCAUAAACAUGCACCAGGUGAUGCAGUGAGGGAGGAUUUUAUGAGAAACCCCAUGGAAAGUGGGCUUGAGCCUUUAACAUUUGAAAGAGUCUCUCUGCCUUGUUCAUUAAAUGCUAUGCUAACCCGUCCAAUAUCCUCUUAAAUCCUUUGUAUGGCAGUUCUAAACGUGCUUUCUCCUGUCGGUUGUUUGUGACCGCAAACGUCCCGUCCAGGGGGGAGGCUCAGGGAGCCCUCCCAUCACCGUGGUCCCUUAGAGCCCUAGGAGGACAUUCUGUUCGGGUUCGCACCACAGCCCCUCCCAUCAAGGGCCCCAGGAAGGAACCUUGAGUCCCCUAGGUCUCAGUACAGAGGGCACACAUGGAGGAGGCACCCUGCUGACGGGGCCCCUGCCCUUGCUCACCAGGUUCUGGCCCCGGAGGUCUGCUCCAGGCCCUCAAAUACGCCAGUCUCUCUCCUGCCUUAAGGCCUUUGCUCGUGCUGGCCCCACGGCCUGUGGCCCAGCCCCCGACCUCUGACCUGUUGGUUCCUUCAUCCUUCGGAGAGCAGCUGAAGCUCCACACUGCAGAGGGCCCCGGAUCUGCUUUAAUCAGGUAAGACACUCAGACACGGAAAUGACUGUCACGAAGAAGGAUGUUUUUUAUACCGAUGUUCCCUAGAAACAAGAGGCAGGACGAGCUCUGCAGGGCCACACGGGGAAGCACCAGUUUGAUCAGGAGGCGGGGGGAACGGGGGGACCAUGGGCAAGGGCCUUCAUCAUGGUUUCCGUGGGAAGCAGAGGGCAAGCCUGGGUCUGCAGGCUCCCCGAGUGCUGGGCUGGAUCCUUCAGGGGACUCUGGGUGUGGGGCUGUCCCUAGUUGUGUGGUCAGGAACAAUUAGAGCAGGUGCUGGGGAUCCUGCGUGUGAGUCACUGUAGAGGAGCUGGUCAGUGGGGCAGGCUCUGGGUUGGCUAGUUUGCAUUUGAAAAGUUCACUCCUGGGGCGAGUUGCUCCUCUCUCUGGGAAUAGGCAGGCCCUCCAGAUGCUAGAGCCUCAGAAUACAGAAAAUAGGACCCGUGGUUACCACAGAAGCCUUCCCAGGGCAACAACGCCUAUUGUGUGUUCUUUCCUUCUUUUAAUUUCAUUGGAGUAUAGUUGAUUUAUGACGUUGUGUUAGUUUCAGGUGUACAGCAAAGAGAUUCAGUCACACAAUGUCUAUUGUAUUUUCUACCGGUUUCCUCCUCUAGAUGCCAGCUCUGGGAAGGGGCCGUGUCUGUCAUUUUUACCCCUGUAUUCCUAGUAUCUAGCAAAUUGUAGAUGCCCAUUAGUUAGUGAAUCAGUGAAUAAGUGGAUGAAAUUAUGUUUGCUUUGGAUCAAUGAAUAAGCGGAUGAAAUUACGUUUGCUUUGGCAGACUCUGAAAUUUUAAGUUCUACUUAACUUAAGCCCCUAAUUGUGCGUGUAAUUUUUUUUUUAAGUGGGACAUACUGGUCUCAGUGGCUGACAGGCCUGAAACAGAGGCGGUUCUUCCCCUGCUGUCACAUCUCCCAAAUGUUCUGACAAAUGUUCCCACCUACAACUUAGUGAUAAAGUGUCACCUGGAGAGGAAACUGGGGGAUGAAGGAGGCAGGUGGGCACACCUGGAGCCCACGUCCUAUUUUCUUACCAACUCCGCCCCCCCCUUUUUUUUUUUUUUUUUUUCCAUUUUUUUUGCUUUGAAAGUAUCAAGAGAGUGGGAAGGUUGCACUUUGGCUAAAAGGAUAUGUUGUCUCCAGCUGACUUGUUUUCUAGACCAGGUCUCUGCUGGGAAGUGAUGUUUGUGCUAAUUCCUGCAGAAUUAACUCCUGACCACAUAACCCUCCAAGUGGCCUAAUGUGUAGCUGGCGUUUCCCAAACAUGGACGGAUUCUCCUUGGCUGCGGAGCCAAGUGAGUGAUUUCUGUGACUGGAAGAAACUGAGGACUCAAAACAGACUCAAUGAAUUUGAUCUCACAGUUUUGAAAAGCCAUACAUGUUGCUCUUUGUAGAGCCGUGUGGAACAUCUAAGGGGCCCCAGAGCCCCAGGGCCCGCUUUCCCAUGGCCCCAUCCCAGGGCUGGCACCCUCCUUCACGGUGAAACUGGCAUCAAGCCUCAAGGGACAGCAACAGCCUCACUGGAAGCCUGGAAACGCCACGGGGCUGCCUUGACAGCGCUGAGCUUCAUCUCCUGGCGAGAGCGUUAGCCCUGGGACUGCAGGUGGGCAAGAUGUUGCUGGAGGAGUUUGGUGACCUUUGAACCAAGUCCCCAUCACCUAGGGCCAUUUGUAGGCAUCCAUGUAUUUGGAAAGAAACAUGGAGAUGCAUGGCCUGAUCCCUGGACCAGCCACAACGUGUCUGAAACCACCUCUGCCCUGCAAAUCCAGGGCUGUGCUCGCCCCAACUGUGUGUCUGCUCUCCAUCGGGGCUCCUGGACCCGGGAGGCUGCCCUCACUAGAGGAAGCUCUGCAGGCGGCAUCUCAGCUCUGACGGAGGGAGGGCCAUCCCAUCAGUGUGUCUCUAGUUCAACGUCAAAGCUCCGGGGUUCUAAGCGUCCCCGUGGUCCUGGGGCAGCUGCCUGUAUCACGCCUGCGUUACACGGUGACUGAAGCCGUCUUGCCACAGCAGGGGGUCGCUAGCAGAGCCCUUGUCCCGUCGCUGCUGUUCGGCCUCAGUGAGAGGACCUGAGCGCUGACAUCCCACGCGCGGACCAGUCUGUGGGGAGAAGAACUGCUGCGCGCAGACCUGGCGGAAGUGCUGCGCGCGCCGCGCGGGCGCAGGACGGCUGCCGAGACUGGCGGGUGCUUUCUGGUAGCCGUCUGUCCACACCCUUCUGUCCUCCUGGGGACUGGCCCUCGAUGCUGCCCUGCACUGUCAAUCACAUUGUGGUGCACCCCCACCCCGCCAAAUCGGAACCGGGCACCUGACCCGGGAUCAGCUGGAAGCAGCAUUUGGUCCUGGAUGAGCCCGUGAUCCAAAUGGUCCAGUCGUCGCCCAGAUUGGUGCGACGUGGCCCCGGUCGCUGUUAAAGAGCCUGUUGGUGACGCCCAGGUGAUAACGGGUAAGAAAGCUUCCAACACCUGCCAAUCAUUAUGACUGGGUCCUUUCAAGGCCUCCAGCUGUUAGGUGCUCCAAAGAAGAGCUUUCCUUGGGAAAGAAUCUUAUUUUUGAGGCAGUUUUAAGAGUAACUAGAUUAACCCAAAGACCUCUACUUGCUUAUUACAGGGAAAUGUAUCCAGAGGAAAGGAACACAUUCCCAUUUCUCCAGAGAGCUCUUCAAGAAAGGAAACCCUCCUUUACCCCCAAACUUUCUGCUAAAUUCCAAGGCAGAGGUGUUUUAAUUAAGUGUGUAAUAAAUACCUAUGGUGGCCAGGACAGUAGUAGGUCAUGUUCGUUAUCCAGCUGCAGAGCCUCUUUUAAGAGCUGCAGGGGAUUGUUUUGUAGAGUUCUGAUUGCUUUUUUCAAAAUUGCUGUAGGCUUUCAUUCCCAUAGUGAUUUGUAUGCAAAUCCUUGCAGGAGGCUGAAAUGCUGUUUGUUUGCUUUUUUAUUGUUUUUUUGUUUGUUUUUGUACACUUUCUUGUUCCAGAAAAGGUUUAUGAUAAUUUAUACAAGAUUAUAAAAGAUAAAAUAAAAACAAAUAAGCGAAGAAAUUGGACCACGGAGGGUGGAAAGCUAAGAUAAAUCUAGGAGUAAGAUUUAUAGGCAGGUAUAAAUAAACCAUAAAUUUAAUUCUGAGCUUAGUAGCAGUUUACACAGAGAGGGAAAUACAAGCAGGUAUAUGUUUGUGUUAAUCAUGCCUUUUUUUUUUAACAUCUGUAUUGGAGUAUAAUUGCUUUACGAUGUAAUCAUACCUUUUUAUUCUGCUGCUUUGACAUCUUGGGGUCUUCAUGACCUUGUGAAGACCCUCCCCCCACCUCCCCACAAGGGCUGGCUAAUUCCUGGAGAUAGUAAACAACUGGCCUUCAAGCACCUUCCGAAUGCAAACCAACCAAUGCUACACCCCAACUACCUCCUCUGGGCCAUAUCCCCCUACCCUAAUCACCCAGGGCCAGGUAGCAGACACCUAGGGACAGCUCCUAUGCCCCAAAGCCCACUGAGAUUAUUCCAACUCAAUUACUCAAAAUCAAAUUAGCCAAUAUUACACCUGCUUCCCCUGCCUCUUCUUGCCUUGCUUGCAGAAACCACAAUAAAGGCUCCUGGCUGAAUUUUCCCCACUCCUUCUGUCUUCUGGCUGACCCUGGUACUUCCCUGUAUGGUCGUGCCUCUUCUUUCUAGGGACUUGUGGGUAUAUACAAAAAUUCUUCCUUCAUGACAGAUAUUUCCAUGUCUGUGUGUCCUACCAUACCUGAGUAAAACAAAUCCCUGGCACAUUCUCCAAUAGUGCUUCAUGGCAUCCAAGAAGAAAAACAAGCCAGUUGCUCAGAAGCACAAUUAUUCAUAAAAGUGAGACCAGAGGUAAUUAUCUUAAAGAGGACAUUGUGCCAUGGUGUAAAGAAGACCUCAAAGGCAAAUCCGCAACAGAAUGCCUUGGUAGCAGUUAGGACACUUUCAGCAGCAAGUGAUAGAAAACUGACUGAAAGAGGAAUAGACACCAAAAGUUCAGAGGUAGGGGGGUUCCACAGAAUUUACAGCUCCAGGAUAGCUUGGUUUCUUUGUGAUUCUUUGGGGUUUUGUUUCGUUUUUUGUUUUUUUGUUUUUUUUGCUUCCCCACUGUACACUUUCUGAGACACAGUAGAUCUGUUUAUUUUAAUGUAGUAAGAAAAUAUUUUGACAUAUUAACUGAUCAUUUUUACUUUUGGUAUUCCUGUCUACCCCGUGGCCUUUCUUUUUAACAUUAGAGGCUAAGUCCAGAGACAAAAAAAUGGAGUCAGAAUCUUAGCCUUGACUCUAAAUAAAAUAGGCUUGUGAAAACCAUAGCAGAGGUAAUGUCUUGAAAACUCAGGAUUUCGACUGACAAGAACCUGGCCUUUGGGGGAGGAUCAAAAAGAUUACAGUGAAGAGCUGAGUGCAUGAUGUUUACCUGGAAAUGACAACUGGAAGAACACCUACCAGCCCAUUCUCUCCACCACAGAGCGAGGGGAGGGAGGCCCUUUCUGGGCUACAGGGAGGAGGGUUUCUCCAAAUUUCGGAGGGUGGGAUAGUAGGGAAGGCUACAGAUGCUGAGAGUCUCCGAGAAGGAACUCUGUGUCAGGCACGCCCAGGCUGACUGAGCCAUGAUAAUGACCCCAUGAUAAGUUGGUAGGACCCCCGAGUACUGGGAUCUGUGCCCUAAGAAAUGGCCAGCGUGGACCAGGGCUCAGAGCAUCAUCUAAGCAGGGUCUGUGCCUGGCCAAGGCUAUGGUUCUCAGGGUAGAUCGGGGAAAGGUCCUGAGACUCCAGGAGGUCCCAGAGGUGCUGAGAGAGCUGGGGGAGCCUUGUGGUUCUGAUGAGGGGGUGUAGCUACUUACAGAACUGGGGAUCUGGCAUCCAGGACCAUAGCAAGGCUGCAGGGGAUGGAGACCCGGAGGGGUUAGGUGGGCAGAGAUGGACUGAGGCCAGCGCCUCGUCCUCCUCACAACUGCAGCACCUACCUGGGUCCCCCAGAGCCUUGACCCAUCCCUAGGGCAGAGCAGGGGAGAAACAUCUGAACUUAAAUCCUGAAAUGGCUCCACAGUCAUUAAUAGAGUUUGUCUGGAAAUACCAAGAUUAUUUUUGCUCUUGGGAGAAAAUAGGGGCUCAAGACAAAAGUAAACAUGAUCAUGGAAAAAUACUGUUUCGUUUUCUCAUGGUUGAGCUCACAGAUCCUAGGGAAGCUCGGUGUGAAGUAUUUUGGUGUUUGGUAAAAUAGUUGUUUCACUCCGGCUAAUACCCAAUUAUUGGUUAUCAGCUGUAGGCAGGGCUCAAAUGAGUCUUAAAUUUUCUCUUUUAUCCUUAUAGGAAAACAGUUUGCCUAUAUUUCCUCAUUUUUAUUAAUUUUCUAUAGUGAACAUUAUUGCUGUGGCAUUUAUUCAUUCAGUAAACACUACUGGAGACUUCUAGGCACCAAAGGCAUCAGGCAUCAGUUUGGCAUGAGAGACAAAAUAUCGGUGACUUGAAUGAGAUAGAAAAGUAUUUCUCUUUCUUAUAAAAUUCUGGGAAUAGACAGUCCAGGACUGGAGUUGUGGCUCCACAACUCCACAAGGUCCUCAUGCACUCAGGACUCUUCUCUUGCCGUGUAUGGUCUCAUUUCACAUAAUCACUUCCUGGUCUAACAUGGCUGCCCAGGUCCAGUCAUCACACCCAUAUUCUGGCUAGUGGGAAGGAGGAAAACGAAGGACAUGCCUAGCUGUCUUCUAUGGAAAGCUCCUGGAGGCUGCCAUGUGAUACUGCUAUUUACAUUUCCUUGGCCGAUUCUUGGUCAAAAUGCA
Physeter macrocephalus (sperm whale) is the source of this 12247-nucleotide long non-coding RNA. RefSeq lists it as uncharacterized. The transcript is spliced from 3 exons. Lineage: Eukaryota; Metazoa; Chordata; Mammalia; Artiodactyla; Physeteridae. The record is from RefSeq and is a predicted model, not a curated record.